GAUUCCGCCAUAGUAAUACGGCUCAGUACGAGAGGAACCGCCGUUUAAGAUAAUUGGUAAAUGCCCUUGCCUGAAAAGGCAAUGGGGCGAAGCUAACAUCUGUAGUCUAAUGACUGAACGCCUCUAAGUCAGAAGACAUGCUAGGUGCGGAGUCACUUUCCCAAUGAUGUCACCCGACUAAGGAUACAUCCGCCUGUGUGGAUGCUGGAGCAUAUCCGUUGGUUUCCCCGUUAGGAUCACAAGUCCAAUACGGGUGCCAAGCACGACAAUUCCACUCGUCAUUGGGGUAAAUCCUCUGCAGACGACUUUGUUGCAACUGGGUAUUGUAAGUGGUAGAGUGGCCUUGCUGCUACGAUCCACUGAGAUUCAUCCCGUGUUGCUAUAAGAUUU
This is a ribosomal RNA of Volvox carteri f. nagariensis, 390 nucleotides long. It matches the Rfam family "Eukaryotic large subunit ribosomal RNA", at positions 3007 to 3399 of the family's 3401-position model. The record is from Rfam. NCBI's taxonomy places the organism in Eukaryota, Viridiplantae, Chlorophyta, Chlorophyceae, Chlamydomonadales, Volvocaceae.